Molecule: long non-coding RNA, 783 nt
Organism: Phyllopteryx taeniolatus (common seadragon)
Lineage: Eukaryota; Metazoa; Chordata; Actinopteri; Syngnathiformes; Syngnathidae
Exons: 2
Source: RefSeq, a predicted model, not a curated record
UGGAUGGCAGCCAGUUCAGGGUGUACCCCGCCUCCUGCCCGAAGACAGCUGGGAUAGGCUCCAGCACGCCCGCGACCCUAGUGAGGAGAAGCAGCUCAGAAAAUGGAUGGAUGGAUGGAUGCUACUGGCGUACGACCAACGAUAUGAUAACCCCGAAGCAAAACCUGGGCCAGAACAGAACCAUAUCCGCGUUGACUGUCAGAACCGACUCACCCCUGGCCGUUUCUGUCGCCCCUCGCUCGGGUUGUGCCGCUACCCUUCCCGCUCUCCUCUUCCCUCCGUUUCGAUGACGAUAGAUGCGGAUGGAGAGAAAGCUGUUUCCUGGCGGGAGGAAGAUGGGGGGCGACGAGGCUCGCUUUUGAUGGCCGCAGUUGGUCGCUCAGUAGCAGGGAGUGUUCAGCGGAGAAGCGCUUUGUGACGAGUCGCAGCUCCGCCUGAAAUAGUCGCUAUUAUUGUGGCUCAGAGAUGAAGUAUUUAUCUUGGGCUUUCACGGCGCAAAUUGAAAUUCAUCCCUUUUAUGGAUAGAACGGGCGACCGCGUUGUUCUGUUGGGGAUGUUUCGUGUUAAGAAGUGCUUACUGAGUGAUGGUCGUUUCAAUGUCGUUACGUAACCAUUUAAUGUAUAUGUAGCUCCUGACAUGUACAACAGCCUGUUUUUCAACCACUCACUAUCUGAAUGUAAUCUGCUAUCUGUACUCUGCUGUUAUAACCACUGACGUAUGUCACAGUGUCACCAUAGCCUGUUGAAAUAUUUAUGAAAAAUCAUAAACCAUUUACUAAACAA